RNAcentral lists this long non-coding RNA (536 nucleotides) under Vitis vinifera (wine grape). Its description in RNAcentral is "long non-coding RNA (VVIN_LNC001334)". Lineage: Eukaryota; Viridiplantae; Streptophyta; Magnoliopsida; Vitales; Vitaceae. The record is from RNAcentral.
UUGAGCUUCUCUCUCAUUCUUUUGUUUUUGCGCCACCACUCACACCAAGAAGCUAAGCUCUUGCCUCUCUACCUUCUGGUUUAAUCAAGUCUACAUAGAGACAGAUAUGGAGGUGGCGAUGGAGAUAGAAGAUGAUUUGUUCUUUCAAGACUUGAGCAAGCAAAUUUCUCUUCUAAUCAUGGACGAUGAUGAAGACCCGGUUGCUCGUUGCCCUUCUGUUUCUCUCCAGGUUCUUCUUCAUGUCCAUGCCCUUCUGUUACAAAAGAAAGAACAUGUUUUCUUGCUUCCUAGCUUCCAUCACCUGUGUGGAGCCUCUGUUUCUCACAUGAUAAUAUGAUAAUUAAACUCUGUUUGAUUGAUGUUCAGGCCUUCUCCAGAGUGAUCCACCCAUCCACACAAUACCCAAUCCUACAUGAUCAAAAUUGCAGAAGAGAGAGCAAAGGCACAGGAGUUUUCAUUCCAAGAUCAUCCCAGCCAAGAAGGAAGAACAGGCAAGGGAGAUUCAACUCAUCCAACACCAAAUCUCAAAGGCAACC